GACAGAGGUUGCAAGCGUUGUUCGGAAUUACUGGGCGUAAAGGGCGUGUAGGCGGUAGAGUAUGUCCGACGUGAAAGCCCUCGGCUUAACUGAGGAAGUGCAUCGGAAACUACUUUACUAAGAGUGCGAGAGAGGGUGGCGGAAUUCCCAGAGUAGAGGUGAAAUUCGUAGAUACUGGGAGGAACACCUGCGGCGAAGGCGGCCGCCUGGCUCGCAACUGACGCUGAGACGCAAAAGCGUGGGGAGCAAACAGG
Molecule: ribosomal RNA, 254 nt
Filed under: uncultured bacterium
Lineage: Bacteria
Description: partial 16S ribosomal RNA
Rfam family: Bacterial small subunit ribosomal RNA
Source: RNAcentral